Molecule: ribosomal RNA, 1356 nt
Filed under: uncultured marine eukaryote
Lineage: Eukaryota
Description: SSU rRNA
Rfam family: Eukaryotic small subunit ribosomal RNA
Source: RNAcentral
CACUUCUAAGGAAGGCAGCAGGCGCGCAAAUUACCCAAUCCUGACUCAGGGAGGUAGUGACAAGAAAUAACAAUAAACCGGCUUAUGCCGGUUUAAUUGGAAUGAGUACAAUUUAAACAUCUUAACGAGGAACAAUUGGAGGGCAAGUCUGGUGCCAGCAGCCGCGGUAAUUCCAGCUCCAAUAGCGUAUACUAAAGUUGUUGCAGUUAAAAAGCUCGUAGUUGGAUUUCUGUGGGGACGGAGCGGCCGGCCGCAACGCGCGGUUCGAGCUAGCGCUUUCCCUACAUCCUGCCGCGAACCGUGCUACCAUUAAUUUGGUGGCGCCGGGGAUCGGCUCGAUUACUUUGAGAAAAAUAGAGUGUUCAAAGCAGGCCACAUGCCUUGAAUAAGUUAGCAUGGAAUAAUAACUAAGGACUUCGGUUCUAUUUUGUUGGUGUUCGGGACUGAAGUAAUGAUUGAUAGGGACAGUUGGGGCGGUCUGUAUUCCAAAGCGAGAGGUGAAAUUCUUAGACCUUCGGAAGACAAACAGCUGCGAAAGCGUUCCGCAAGGAUGUUCCCUUUGAUCAAGAACGAAAGUUGGGGGAUCGAAGACGAUCAGAUACCGUCGUAGUCUCAACUAUAAACUAUACCAGCUAGGGAUCGGCCAACGUUAUUUCAUACCGACUCGGUCGGCACCUUAUGAGAAAUCAAAGCAUCUGGGUUCCGGGGGGAGUGUGGUCGCAAGGCUGAAACUUAAAGGAAUUGACGGAAGGGCACCACCAGCCGUGGAGCCUGUGGCUUAAUUUGACUCAACACGGGAAAACUUACCAGGUCCAGACAUAGUAAGGAUUGACAGAUUGAUAGCUCUUUCUUGAUUCUGUGGGUGGUGGUGCAUGGCCGUUCUUAGUUGGUGGAGUGAUUUGUCUGGUUAAUUCCGUUAACGAACGAGACCCCAGCCUGCUAAAUAGCGCGCGUGAGCUUUGCUCGCGGCGAGCUUCUUAGAGGGACUCUGAUGCGCGAUAGCACAUGGAAGUUUGGGGCAAUAACAGGUCUGUGAUGCCCUUAGAUGUUCUGGGCCGCACACGGGCUACACUGGCGCCUGCAACGAGCAUAUCAGCUGGCCCGAGAGGGUCUUGGCUAAUCUUUUGAACCGGCGCCGUGCUUGGGAUUGACCUUUGCAAUUGUCGGUCAUGCAACGAGGAAUGCCUUGUAAACGCGAGUCAUCAGCUCGCAUUGAAUACGUCCCUGCCCUUUGUACACACCGCCCGUCGCUCCUACCGAUGAAUGUUCCGAUGAAAUUUUCGGAGAGCACCUGUGAACUUGGCUCCGCCUUGCGGACGGGAGGCUCAAAGUCACUUAAAUCUGAACAUUUCGAGG